AGCCCUCCCCACCUGCCCAGCAAUUUACUCUUAAAAAGGUGGCUGGAGCUAAAGGCAUAGUCAAGGUUAAUGCUCCUUUUUCUUUAUCCCAAAUCGGAUAGCGUUUAGGCUCUUUUUCAUCAAAUAUAAAAAUCCAGCCCAGUUCAUGGCUCGUUUGGCAGCAACCCUGAGACGCUUUACAGCCCUAGACCCUAAAAGUUCAAAAGGCCGUCUUAUUCUCAAAAUACACUUUAUUACCCAAUCUGCUCCCGACAUUAAAGAAAACUCCAAAAAUUAAAUUCCAGCCCUCAAACCCCACAACAGGAUUUAAUUAACCUCGCCUUCAAGGUGUACAAUAAUAGAGAAAAGUUGCAAUUCCUUGCCUCCACUGUGAGACAAACCCCAGCCACAUCUCCAGCACACAAGAACUUCCAAACGCCUGAACCGCAGCAGCCAGGCGUUCCUCCAGAACCUCCUCCCCCAGGAGCUUGCUACAAGUGCCAGAAAUCUGGCCACCAGGCCAAGGAAUGCCUGCAGCCCAGGAUUCCUCCUAAGCUGAGUCCCAUCUGUGCGGGACCCCACUGGAAAUCGGACUGUCUAACUCACCUGGCAGCCACUCCCAGCGCCCCUGGAAUUCUGGCCCAAGGCUCUCUGACUGCUUCCCACAUCUUCUUGGCUUAGCGGCUGAAGACUGAUGCUGCCCGAUCGCCUCGGAAGCCCCCUACAAGACCAUCACGGAUGCCGAGCUUCGCGUAACUCUCACAGUGGAGGGUACACAUCCAGAUGGCCGGUUCCUGCCUUAACUGAUGACAUUCUACCACAAAAGAAGUGAAAAUGGCCUGUUCCUGCCUUAACUGAUGACAUUGCCUUGUGAAAUUCCUUCUCCUAGCUCAUCCUGGCUCAAAAGCUCCCCUACUGAGCACCUUGUGACCCCUACUCUGCCCGCCAGAGAACAAACCAACCCCUCUUUGACUGUAAUUUUCCUUUACCUACCCAAAUCCUAUAAAACGGCCCCACCCCUAUCUCCCUUCGCUGACUCUCUUUUCG
RNAcentral lists this long non-coding RNA (1026 nucleotides) under Homo sapiens (human). RNAcentral describes it as "non-protein coding lnc-ATXN1-8:2". Lineage: Eukaryota; Metazoa; Chordata; Mammalia; Primates; Hominidae. The record is from RNAcentral.